Odocoileus virginianus texanus is the source of this 2460-nucleotide non-coding RNA. The record is from RefSeq and is a predicted model, not a curated record. NCBI's taxonomy places the organism in Eukaryota, Metazoa, Chordata, Mammalia, Artiodactyla, Cervidae.
UGUUUACUUUGACUAGGAAAAAAGCACAAAUAAUUGAUGAUUCCAAAUAGUAAUAAGUGAAAGGAACUAUUUUAUGUUUGCUAUUAUUAUGACUUAAAUUAUGUUUCUCAUUUGAAUAAAUGCACAAGAGAGUCAAAUUAUAAUUAUAAAAAGGGGCUGGCUAGACUUUUGUGAACUGGAGGUUGGACAUAAAUAUGGCAUCAAGACCUUUACAUAUGUAUUUGAUGUCUAAAACAACCUGAUAAAGUACAUAUAAUCCCCAUUCUAAGGAAAACAGAUUAGUAACUUGCCCAAGGUACAAACCUAAUAAAAUAGGUAGAACUGAAAUGUGAACACAGGUCUAUUUAGGUCCAAAGCCUGGGUACCUUUACAACUUUACCAUCUAAAGUAAGCAUAGUAUAUACAUUGCAGGAUGUACAAUAGUUACCAGUAAAAGAAAAAUAAAACAAUAAUGAACAUUUGAAUGCUGUUUUUCACAGAAAUCUCAGAUUUGAUUAAUUUAAUCUCUCUCAGGAGAUUAAUACUAGUACAAGGAGGAAAUGCUUUCCAAUAUUUUUGCAUUUUAUGCGAAAUUACAUUUUGAAACAUGUUCUUUAUCUUCUCUACUCUUACUUUUUAGCCUCUUCUACACAGCCAUCAUCUGUGAAUUAUAAUUCUUCAGAAGACCCAAGUAUUCAUUAACAAUGUAAAGAAGCAGUUAUAUAAGGGGAUUCCCUUCCCCAAGACUUUUUCAGUGAAGUCUUCAAAGUCAAAAUUACUUCAUUAUUAUACUAGGACACUGUUUUGCUUUUCCCCCUUGCUCUUCUUUCCUUAUGUGUAGAAGGCAGUUUUCACGGAGCUACAUGAUGUGUGGGGACAUCACUGCUGAUAGUUAACUGAAAAUAUGCUUAGAUGUUUAAAACUUCUGCCAUAAUUUCUAACUAGCUAAAGUAACAACGAAUAUAAUCCACAUAAACAAAAGCUGAGAAUUUUUAAAUGACACUUUCUGACCUAGUGAAUCCACACUGUACUGUUAAAUUUCUGUCUAGGUUCUACAACAGAAAUCACAAACUGUUUAGUAACUUUUUUCUUUAAAUUACAUAAAGCGCAAAAAAAAAAAAAAAGCUUUCUUUUUACAAAGAAAAACAGUUCACAUCACUGUAUCAUGAAACAGAACUUCAAAACUAUUCACAGCCAAAAGCACAAAUGUCCAAAUCCAGCAAAUAUCACUCAUCUACCCUGGUAUCUUUUCUUAGUUUUUAGUACUAGAAGGCCCAACCAAAACACAACAUUUCUGACAUAUCAAAUGAUGGCACUAUGCUAUGCAGACAUACAGUAGAGCAGAUUACAAAAAUGAGAAGAAUACUACCGCCUGCCCUCAUGGAGCUUACAGUCUAAAUUCUCAAAUUAAUUAGAAGAUCAGCGUACCAGUGAAUCUUCACAUAUCACAGAGUAAUAACUACUAAAUACACAAGGCUUAUGUUAAAAAUUUUUAUGACAAACAUUAACAAGUAUUGCUGAUUACAAAUCUAUUUUAAAGCUGUAAAGAACAUCAAUAAUAUGACAGAGGUGGAUCACUGUUAUAAAAUAGAAUUCUAAAUGAAACAAUUAUUACCAAUUAGAAAUAAAACUAGCUCUAAAGGAUGAUCAUAAUAAAAAAUACUAAUGAUUUUUUAAGUAUUUUUGCAUUCUCUAUGGAGUAUUCUCAAGAGAGUACAAAGGACUUUUUUGUUCCUUCAAUUUUUAAAGUAGUAAAUAGAAAACCUUGAAAUGACGAUACAUCCUCUAAAAUUCCUCAAGAAAGAUAUUACAAAAUUUUAUACUGAAACAGCUACAAAGCCCUAUUCAAAAUGCUCUCUUGUUACUGGCAAAUCUUUGGAGUCAGAAAAUCUACUCUGGGUUAUGCGCAGCUGCUCCAAAAAGUCUUAAAUCAUGAUUUAAAAAAUCUGUAUGUACUUUCCGGCGGUGACGACUUCCUCACAAUAACAUGCCUCUAGCAGAGGAUCUUCCUCAUCCCUCUCCAGAAGAGAAGAGGAAACACAAGAAAAAGCGCCUGGUGAGAGCCCCAAUUCCUAUUUCAUGGAUGUAAAAUGCCCAGCAUGCUAUAAAAUCACCACCGUCUUUAGCCACGCACAAACAGUAGUUUUGUGUGUUGGCUGCCCUACUGUCCUCUGCCAGCCUACAGGGGGAAAAGCAAGGCUUACAGAAGGAUGCUCUUACAGAAGGAUGCUCCAUCUUACAGACGGAAGCAGCACUAAGAUCUCCCUGUAUCAAGAUGAAUGGGGGCUGAUUCAUGUCAAUGUAUGGCAAAAACCACUACAACAUUGUAAAGUAAUUAGCCUCCAACUAAUAAAAAUAAAUGGGGGGAAAAAAAAGAUGAAUGGGAAUCCAUCCCAAUAAACAAAUUUCAGAUAUUAAAAAAAAAAAAACAAUUAAUUAUAGAGUGAAGUACUGUUACGGGGCUUCCCUGGCAGCUCAAUG